CAGGUCUUGACAUCCGGACGACAGGGAAGUAACGUUCCCCUCCCUUCGGGGCGUCCGAGACAGGUGGUGCAUGGUUGUCAUCAGCUCGUGUCGUGAGAUGUUGGGUUAAGUCCCGCAACGAGCGCAACCCUUAUCUUCAGCAGCCAGCAUUUCGGAUGGGCACUCUGGAGAGACUGCCAGGGACAACCUGGAGGAAGGUGGGGAUGACGUCAAAUCAUCAUGCCCCUUAUGAUCUGGGCUACACACGUGCUACAAUGGCGUAAACAAAGGGAAGCGAGACCGUGAGGUGGAGCAAAUCCCAAAAAUAACGUCUCAGUUCGGAUUGUAGUCUGCAACUCGACUACAUGAAGCUGGAAUCGCUAGUAAUCGCGAAUCAGAA
Molecule: ribosomal RNA, 379 nt
Filed under: uncultured bacterium
Lineage: Bacteria
Description: bacterial SSU rRNA
Rfam family: Bacterial small subunit ribosomal RNA
Source: RNAcentral